UCAAAUAGAGAGACAAGGUAGGCCUCAACAGCUUCUUGGAGAGCACCAAUGGCAGAAGAUUGGAAACGCAAGUCAGUCUUGAAAUCUUGGGCGAUUUCACGGACCAAACGUUGGAAAGGUAGCUUACGAAUUAAAAGUUCAGUAGACUUUUGAUAACGACGAAUCUCACGAAGAGCGACAGUACCAGGACGAUAACGAUGAGGCUUCUUAACACCUCCGGUAGCGGGAGCGGCCUUACGAGCGGCCUUAGAGGCCAAUUGCUUACGGGGUGCCUUACCACCGGUAGACUUACGAGCUGUUUGUUUAGUACGAGCCAUUAUAUCAAGCUAGUAGAAUGAAUAUCAAAUAAAAAGACAAUCGAGAAAAAAAUAGCUGUUGUGCUACUUUUGCCAAUUGUUGAUCUUUAGAAUUAAUGGAAACGCAAGCGUACUGCAGAUAUUUGCUAUAUAUAUGUUUUGAAUCCACCCGA
This is a non-coding RNA of Schizosaccharomyces pombe (fission yeast), 469 nucleotides long. Lineage: Eukaryota; Fungi; Ascomycota; Schizosaccharomycetes; Schizosaccharomycetales; Schizosaccharomycetaceae. The record is from the annotation of a GenBank genome assembly.